UUGUAUCUGGGUACCCUCCUAUGACCUAUUGGCAUCUUCCUCUUCUGCACCUGCACCAACUGUUGCUUCAGCUUCACCUGGAGGGACGGCAGCUCAAAUCUUGCUUGGGCUCAAAUCCACCUAUCUCAUCCUGAGGCUCGCCUCAACCUCCUCAUAGAUAUCUGGAUUCUCUCUUACUGUAAACAACCCAUCUGACAUAGUCUCCCCAGAGCCAUGGCUCUCUAGUGCCUGCACAUCCCCCAU
RNAcentral lists this long non-coding RNA (243 nucleotides) under Elaeis guineensis (African oil palm). Its description in RNAcentral is "long non-coding RNA (EGUI_LNC015048)". The record is from RNAcentral. Lineage: Eukaryota; Viridiplantae; Streptophyta; Magnoliopsida; Arecales; Arecaceae.